AGCAGCCGCGGUAAUUCCAGCUCCAAUAGCGUAUAUUAAAGUUGUUGCAGUUAAAAAGCUCGUAGUUGAAUUUCGGGGUUCUACCGUUGGUCGGGCAAUUGUCUGUACUGGCGUGUGGAAUUUCUACCUUCUGGAGAACCAUCAUGUUAUUAAUUUAGCGUGGUGGGAAACCAGAACCUUUACCUUGAAAAAAUUAGAGUGUUCAAAGCAGGCUUACGUCUGAAUACAUUAGCAUGGAAUAAUAAAAUAGGACGGUGGUCCUGUUUUGUUGGUUUCUGAAUCACCGUAAUGAUUAAUAGGGAUAGUUGGGGGCAUUAGUAUUCAAUUGUCAGAGGUGAAAUUCUUGGAUUUAUUGAAGACUAACUUCUGCGAAAGCAUUUGCCAAGGAUGUUUUCAUUAAUCAAGAACGAAAGUUGGGGGAUCGAAGACGAUCAGAUACCGUCGUAGUCUUAACCAUAAACUAUGCCGACUAGGGAUCGGACGAUGUUAAUUUUUCUUGACUCGUUCGGCGCCUUACGGG
Molecule: ribosomal RNA, 520 nt
Filed under: uncultured Gigaspora
Lineage: Eukaryota; Fungi; Glomeromycota; Glomeromycetes; Diversisporales; Gigasporaceae
Description: SSU rRNA
Rfam family: Eukaryotic small subunit ribosomal RNA
Source: RNAcentral